CAUAGCAUGUCAGAAGGCAGACCCGGAGAACUGAAACAUCUUAGUACCCGGAGGAAGAGAAAGAA
Molecule: ribosomal RNA, 65 nt
Filed under: Staphylococcus epidermidis
Lineage: Bacteria; Bacillati; Bacillota; Bacilli; Caryophanales; Staphylococcaceae
Description: partial 23S ribosomal RNA
Source: RNAcentral